AUUUUGUCCCUCUCUAUCAGAGCUGGGAAAGUUUCUACACUAGAAACUUGUAUCGAAGAAUAAGUGAUUGCUGGAAUCGUCCUGUCUGUACAGCUCCAGGAGCAGAAAUAGAUGUCUUAGAACGAGAAUCUCCUGAUUUUGGUUGGAACUGGAAAUUGAUUGUAAAGAAG
This is a long non-coding RNA of Octopus sinensis (East Asian common octopus), 170 nucleotides long. RefSeq lists it as uncharacterized. Lineage: Eukaryota; Metazoa; Mollusca; Cephalopoda; Octopoda; Octopodidae. The transcript has 3 exons. The record is from RefSeq and is a predicted model, not a curated record.